CGCAUCUGUGCAUGCAGCAUAUCAAUAAGCGGAGGAAAAGAAACUAACAAGGAUUCCCCUAGUAACGGCGAGUGAAGCGGGAAGAGCUCAAAUUUGAAAUCUUAAAGGGUUUCCCUUUACGAAUUGUAGUUUAAAGAAGUGUUUUCUGUUGAGGUUUUGGUAAAAGUUCUUUGGAAUAGGACAUCAUAGAGGGUGAGAAUCCCGUAUUUGACCUUUACUUUCAACUUUGUGAUACACUUUCAAAGAGUCGGAUUGUUUGGGAAUGCAGUCCAAAAUGGGUGGUAAAUUUCAUCUAAAGCUAAAUAUUGGCGAGAGACCGAUAGCGAACAAGUACCGUGAGGGAAAGAUGAAAAGAACUUUGAAAAGAGAGUUAAACAGUACGUGAAAUUGUCAAAAGGGAAGCGUUUGACACCAGUGUUGUUUUUCUGAAAAUCAAUUAAAGAACUGUUUAUGCUAAGUUGUUUAGACUUUAUCAGCUAUCUGUUUAGUUUUGAGCUUUUCUUUAAUGCACUUUUCAGUUAACAAGUCAACAUCAAUUUCUUUUGCUGUAAAAAAGCUUGAGGAAGGUGGCUUGAGAUUCGUCUUAAGUGUUUAUAGCCUCUUGCCUAUGCAGUCGGAGAGAUUGAGGUCUGCAGCGUAGAUCCUUCGGGGCUAAAUGCAUUUGUGCUAAGUUAUAGCAUUUUAUAGACAACCUGUUGACUAUGAUUUGUCUUGUAGCUUACUCGCUUAUGUUAUUUUACCUACGCUUAGGAUGUUGAGUCGUAGAGCACGCAG
RNAcentral lists this ribosomal RNA (774 nucleotides) under uncultured Neocallimastigales. RNAcentral describes it as "partial large subunit ribosomal RNA". It matches the Rfam family "Eukaryotic large subunit ribosomal RNA", at positions 26 to 628 of the family's 3401-position model. The record is from RNAcentral. Lineage: Eukaryota; Fungi; Neocallimastigomycota; Neocallimastigomycetes; Neocallimastigales.